This 393-nucleotide ribosomal RNA is filed under the name uncultured bacterium. Its description in RNAcentral is "partial 16S ribosomal RNA". It matches the Rfam family "Bacterial small subunit ribosomal RNA", at positions 523 to 918 of the family's 1533-position model. The record is from RNAcentral.
AUACGGAGGAUGCAAGCGUUAUCCGGAUUUAUUGGGUUUAAAGGGUGCGUAGGCUGUUCGGAAAGUCAGGGGUGAAAGCCCGGCGCCUAACGCCGGAACUGCCUUUGAUACUUCCGAGCUGGAAUACGGAUGCCGUGGGAGGCAUGAGUAGUGUAGCGGUGAAAUGCAUAGAUAUUACUCAGAACACCGAUUGCGAAGGCAUCUCACGAAUCCGUCAUUGACGCUGAGGCACGAAAGCGUGGGGAUCAAACAGGAUUAGAUACCCUGGUAGUCCACGCAGUAAACGAUGAUGACUAACCGUCGGCGAUACACAGUCGGUGGCCAAGCGAAAGCGAUAAGUCAUCCACCUGGGGAGUACGUUCGCAAGAAUGAAACUCAAAUGAAUUGACGGGG